UGGUCGGCCCACUGAUCACCACUAGGUAUGGUCGGCACACUGAUCACCACCAGGUAUGGUCGGCACACUGAUCACCACCAGGUAUGGUCGGCACACUGAUCACCACCAGGUAUGGUCGGCACACUGAUCACCACCAGGUAUGGUCGGCACACUGAUCACCACCAGGUAUGGUCGGCACACUGAUCACCACCAGGUAUGGUCGGCACACUGAUCACCACCAGGUAUGGUCGGCACACUGAUCACCACCAGGUAUGGUCGGCACACUGAUCACCACCAGGUAUGGUCGGCACACUGAUCACCACCAGGUAUGGUCGGCACACUGAUCACCACCAGGUAUGGUCGGCACACUGAUCACCACCAGGUAUGGUCGGCACACUGAUCACCACCAGGUAUGGUCGGCACACUGAUCACCACCAGGUAUGGUCGGCACACUGAUCACCACCAGGUAUGGUCGGCACACUGAUCACCACCAGGUAUGGUCGGCACACUGAUCACCACCAGGUAAGGUCGGCACACUGAUCACCACCAGGUAAGGUCGGCACACUGAUCACCACCAGGUAUGGUCGGCACACUGAUCACCACCAGGUCAGACACUCACCUGCUUCUCUCCCUUUG
Oncorhynchus keta (chum salmon) is the source of this 615-nucleotide long non-coding RNA. RefSeq lists it as uncharacterized. The record is from RefSeq and is a predicted model, not a curated record. NCBI's taxonomy places the organism in Eukaryota, Metazoa, Chordata, Actinopteri, Salmoniformes, Salmonidae. The transcript is spliced from 3 exons.